Long non-coding RNA from Rattus norvegicus (Norway rat), 1956 nucleotides. RefSeq lists it as uncharacterized. The record is from RefSeq and is a predicted model, not a curated record. NCBI's taxonomy places the organism in Eukaryota, Metazoa, Chordata, Mammalia, Rodentia, Muridae.
AUUCCAUCCCUCCAACCCUUCUCUAGAGAACCAGGCAGGCAUGCCUUGACUGUAAGAGCAGAGCCUCAGACACACUCAGAUUUUCCAAGCCAUUUGGAUGCUGUGAAACUGUAAAUGGCAGAAAUAGUGAAACUGGGUUUAGAUUCUGAGAAUCUUAUCUGAGAAGCUUCUGUGUGUUUUCCUUAGUUAGCUUUCAAGGAAGAAGGUUUUAGUGAGGUGUCAGUGGCAACGAGAGAACCCAGCAUACCAACACACCCUCACUGGACGGGCUCUUUCCAGAAAGUGCACACAGUGGGAAGACCCUGGGGUUAGCUCAGACUUAAUGUUAUUCAAGGACUAGAAAGAAGGCCAAUGUGUUGGGAGCUGAGAACAAAAGGGAGUGUGGUAGGAGAUGAGGUCAGAGUGAGCGAGGGCCCCGAUCUUGCAGUACUGUAUUGCUCCACAGAGGAGUGUUGUUUAGGCAUUCAAACUCCUUCACACAAACAAACCAAGCAAAUAUUUUAGGCCUGAAUUGUUGGGUGCUGAUGAUACAGAAAUGAAUUAGACAAAGUCUUCAUUGUCAAGAAACUCAAACUCUAACAAGAAACAAAGACAAGUGAGCAGGCAGCUGCAUCACAGAGCAGCAGUACUGAUUCAAGCAGAAAGUGUAAAGUACAACUGGGCACAUGGGAGCCUACAUGCUUGGCUGGUUACUAUGCAGAUGGCGGAAGGAGCCACCUUUGAAAACAAGGAGCAGCUCAGAGCACCCUGAGGAGCAGCAAGCAGAGGCAGCUAAGGAAGACAAGCAUUACAGAGGCAGACUCAAGAGGAUCUCUGUGAGUUUGAAGCCAGCCUAGUCUACAUAGCAAGUUCCAAGAUAGCCGAGACUACAUGGACAGAUCCCCUUGGCACAAAAAAAAAAAAAAGAAGGAAGGAAGGAAAGAAGGAAGGAAGGAAGGAAGGAAGAAAGAAAGAAAGAAAGAAAGAAAGAAAGAAAGAAAGAAAGAGGAAAAGAAAGAAGUCCACCAUUUUUCCAGUUUCUCAAAACAGAGUUUCUCUAUGUGCCCUGGCUGUCCUGGAGCUUGCUCUGUAGAGCAGGCUGGCUACAAACUCAGAGAUCCACCUGCCUCUGCCUCCUGGGAUUGAUGUUAUGCUCCACUACCGCCUAGCUUAAGAGCUAGAUUUCCUGCUUGGUGGUCUCUACAGCACUGUGUAGUUAAGAUGUUCUCUGGCUGGCUAGGCCUUUCCCCGGCUCCUUCAAUGAAGACUUGGAAGCUAACAGAGGACAACCAGAGGUUGGAGUCCAGUGGUGCUUAGCACUUCAGCAGAGAGAACCCCACCUUUCUCAUUUGCUGGACUUUGCCAGAAGCUGCAUCUUGAGUACCCCGAAGUGACAGCCGCUGUAGAAACAUUCGUGGCCCCAGGAACACAGCAGAGGCCGCAGGCUGUGAGGCAGAGCUGGGUUCUGAGAUAGGCACUGGCCGCUUCAGAAGCUCCUUCAUCUCAUGGCCAGGGCUGUUGUUUCCAGGGGCUGUGGCUCUGUCUUCCUUGACAUGGCAAACAGCCGCACCAUCCCACAGCUUCUACCACGGUUGUAGACUGAUGCCUGCUCCUCAUCUCCUAUCCUGUCAGGGCUGGCAUUGAGAAAUAGCAUGGCUGACUCUCCUGGGACAGGAGGACUUGCCAAAACAGCAAUUUUUAAAAGGAAACCACGAAAGUUGCAGGCAAAUUCCAAUGUAUUUCGCAGGAAGCAGCUGACAUGGGCAGAAAAGCCAAUGCAGCCUCGGAAAAGUUUUCCUAAAGCCACAUUCAGAGCCUGGUUUUAUGGGGAAGGCAAAUGACUUUGCUGUAGUGUUCUCUUGAAUUUGGCAAUCAAUAAUGUAUAAGUGCACAAAAAUAGAUCUGAAUAGCAAGAGAGGAGAGGCAAACAAUCUUCAAGAUGAAAAGAUAUCCAUUAAAGUGUACAUCUUGUGAAAA